Polistes dominula (European paper wasp) is the source of this 535-nucleotide long non-coding RNA. Lineage: Eukaryota; Metazoa; Arthropoda; Insecta; Hymenoptera; Vespidae. The record is from RefSeq and is a predicted model, not a curated record.
UGAUAAAAUAAUUGAAAGUCUAUAUUUUCAUGUAAAUAAAUUUAGUGGCAGUUUGCAAUUCCUUACGAUAAGAUCACAUUUCUUUACAAAUUGAAUAAAUUAUGUGGACAGACCUCGAGAAAUAUGAUUAUAUACUUAUGUAUGUAUACCGAUAGUCUCGUAACUUUGAGCGAGUUUCCAUAAAACGUCGCUAGCGACAAACGACGACGAUGACGACGACGGAGGACGCGAACAACGAUGCGCGCGCGCAAAACAGUCGUUGUGCUUUCGAGCAACGUGAUACGCUCUGUUAUCCGAAGACGAACGCGCACGAUUACCUAUCGGUAACGUUAAACAAUCACGAGGUCUUACCAGAUAACCCAAGUCGUGCAUAAUCUAUCCUUAAACGAACAACACAUUACACAGGAAAACACGUUCAAAUGUGGAUUCAUCGUAAUGGUCUCUUUCUGUACCGUUUGAUUGCACUCUCAUCAUUUGAAGAAAAUGCUUAUAAUUACGAUCAAGGUCGGCGACGAGAUUUUACUAAAAAUAUAUA